CCGAGUUUACAACUCCCAAACCCAUGUGAACAUACCUACUGUUGCUUCGGCGGGAUUGCCCCGGGCGCCUCGAGUGCCCCGGAUCAGGCGCCCGCCUAGGAAGCUUAACUCUUGUUUUAUUUUGGAAUCUUCUGAGUAGUUUUUACAAAUAAAUAA
This 156-nucleotide unclassified non-coding RNA is filed under the name soil metagenome. RNAcentral describes it as "partial internal transcribed spacer 1". The record is from RNAcentral.